Molecule: long non-coding RNA, 280 nt
Filed under: Vigna radiata
Lineage: Eukaryota; Viridiplantae; Streptophyta; Magnoliopsida; Fabales; Fabaceae
Description: long non-coding RNA (VRAD_LNC008906)
Source: RNAcentral
CUAUUGAGAGCAAAUCAAAUCAAAUGAUUUUAUUUUUUAUUCUUAAUGUUUUCAAUCUUGGUUCCGUAGGAACAAAUAAUAGAGAUUAAGAAAAAUAGGUCAUUUACAACUACUAAUGAAAGAUUCCUUGAAAAGUUAAAGAUUAGAAAUUUUUUUGAAAAUUCAAAAUAGAAAGGAUUCGGUCUUAUACAUACGCGAGGAAAGUAAUCAAAAAAGAAAGAAGAACUCAUCCUCUUUCUUUUAUCACUUAGGAGCCGUGCGAGAUGAAAGUCUCAUGCAC